Molecule: ribosomal RNA, 486 nt
Filed under: Salmonella enterica
Lineage: Bacteria; Pseudomonadati; Pseudomonadota; Gammaproteobacteria; Enterobacterales; Enterobacteriaceae
Also listed under: 2 other names
Description: bacterial LSU rRNA
Rfam family: Bacterial large subunit ribosomal RNA
Source: RNAcentral
GUUAAGUGGGAAACGAUGUGGGAAGGCCCAGACAGCCAGGAUGUUGGCUUAGAAGCAGCCAUCAUUUAAAGAAAGCGUAAUAGCUCACUGGUCGAGUCGGCCUGCGCGGAAGAUGUAACGGGGCUAAACUAUGCACCGAAGCUGCGGCAGCGACACUAUGUGUUGUUGGGUAGGGGAGCGUUCUGUAAGCCUGUGAAGGUGUGUCGUGAGGCAUGCUGGAGGUAUCAGAAGUGCGAAUGCUGACAUAAGUAACGAUAAAGCGGGUGAAAAGCCCGCUCGCCGGAAGACCAAGGGUUCCUGUCCAACGUUAAUCGGGGCAGGGUGAGUCGACCCCUAAGGCGAGGCCGAAAGGCGUAGUCGAUGGGAAACGGGUUAAUAUUCCCGUACUUGGUGUUACUGCGAAGGGGGGACGGAGAAGGCUAUGUUGGCCGGGCGACGGUUGUCCCGGUUUAAGCGUGUAGGUGUGUGUUCCAGGUAAAUCCGGUU